This 521-nucleotide ribosomal RNA is filed under the name Arthrobacter sp. RNAcentral describes it as "bacterial SSU rRNA". It matches the Rfam family "Bacterial small subunit ribosomal RNA", at positions 77 to 613 of the family's 1533-position model. The record is from RNAcentral. RNAcentral also lists the same sequence under 3 other names. Lineage: Bacteria; Bacillati; Actinomycetota; Actinomycetes; Micrococcales; Micrococcaceae.
AGCUUGCUGGGGGAUUAGUGGCGAACGGGUGAGUAACACGUGAGUAACCUGCCCUUGACUCUGGGAUAAGCCUGGGAAACUGGGUCUAAUACCGGAUAUGACUCCUCAUCGCAUGGUGGGGGGUGGAAAGCUUUUGUGGUUUUGGAUGGACUCGCGGCCUAUCAGCUUGUUGGUGGGGUAAUGGCCUACCAAGGCGACGACGGGUAGCCGGCCUGAGAGGGUGACCGGCCACACUGGGACUGAGACACGGCCCAGACUCCUACGGGAGGCAGCAGUGGGGAAUAUUGCACAAUGGGCGCAAGCCUGAUGCAGCGACGCCGCGUGAGGGAUGACGGCCUUCGGGUUGUAAACCUCUUUCAGUAGGGAAGAAGCGUAAGUGACGGUACCUGCAGAAGAAGCGCCGGCUAACUACGUGCCAGCAGCCGCGGUAAUACGUAGGGCGCAAGCGUUAUCCGGAAUUAUUGGGCGUAAAGAGCUCGUAGGCGGUUUGUCGCGUCUGCUGUGAAAGACCGGGGCUCAAC